ACGGCGAGUGAAGCGGCAAAAGCUCAAAUUUGAAAUCUGGCUUCGGCCCGAGUUGUAAUUUGUAGAGGAUGUUUCGGGCAAGAUCCGGGCUUAAGUUCCUUGGAACAGGACGUCAUAGAGGGUGAGAAUCCCGUACGUGGUCCAGGGUCGCGCCCAUGUGAAACUCCUUCGACGAGUCGAGUUGUUUGGGAAUGCAGCUCAAAAUGGGUGGUAAAUUUCAUCUAAAGCUAAAUAUUGGCCAGAGACCGAUAGCGCACAAGUAGAGUGAUCGAAAGAUGAAAAGCACUUUGAAAAGAGAGUUAAACAGCAUGUGAAAUUGUUGAAAGGGAAGCGCUUGCAACCAGACUUGUUUGUAGGGUUCAGCCGUCGUUCUCGUCGGUGUAUUUCCCUAUCUACAGGCCAGCAUCAGUUCGGACGGAAGGUCAAAGGCCUUGGGAAUGUAGCAUCCUCCGGGAUGUCUUAUAGCCCUCGGUGUAAUGCUUCCAGCCCGGACUGAGGAACGCGCUUCGGCUCGGAUGCUGGCGUAAUGGUUUUAAGCGACCCGUCUUGAAACACGGACCAAGGAGUCUAACAUCUAUGCGAGUAUUUGGGUGUCAAACCCAUAUGCGUAAUGAAAGUGAACGGAGGUGGGAAUCUUCGGAUGCACCAUCGACCGAUCCUGAUGUCUUCGGAUGGAUUUGAGUAAGAGCAUAGCUGUUGGGACCCGAAAGAUGGUGAACUAUGCCUGAAUAGGGUGAAGCCAGAGGAAACUCUGGUGGAGGCUCGCAGCGGUUCUGACGUGCAAAUCGAUCGUCAAAUUUGGGCAUAGGGGCGAAAGACUAAUCGAACUAUCUGGUAGCUGGUUCCUGCCGAAGUUUCCCUCAGGAUAGCAGUAACGUUUUCAGUUUUAUGAGGUAAAGCGAAUGAUUAGAGGCCUUGGGGUUGAAACAACCUUAACCUAUUCUCAAACUUUAAAUAUGUAAGAAGCCCUUGUUGCUUAAUUGAACGUGGGCAUUUGAAUGUAUCGUUACUAGUGGGCCAUUUUUGGUAAGCAGAACUGGCGAUGCGGGAUGAACCGAACGUGAAGUUAAGGUGCCGGAAUAUACGCUCAUCAGACACCACAAAACGUGUUGAUUCAUAUGGACAGCCGGACGGUGGCCAUGGAAGUCGGAAUCCGCUAAGGAACGUGUAACAACGCACCGGCCGAAUGAAUCAGCCGUGAAAAUGGAUGGCGCUCAAGCGUAUUACCUAUACUUCACCGUUAGGGUAGAAAUGAUGCCCUAACGAGUAGGCAGGCGUGGAGGUCCGUGACGAA
This 1294-nucleotide ribosomal RNA is filed under the name Gamsomyces stilboideus. Its description in RNAcentral is "Bactrodesmium stilboideum partial large subunit ribosomal RNA". It matches the Rfam family "Eukaryotic large subunit ribosomal RNA", at positions 86 to 1407 of the family's 3401-position model. The record is from RNAcentral. Lineage: Eukaryota; Fungi; Ascomycota; Eurotiomycetes; Sclerococcales.